AACGAGCAAUACGGGUCACCUGAUGGUAU
This 29-nucleotide small RNA is filed under the name Bombyx mori (domestic silkworm). RNAcentral's name for it is "ovarian small RNA-4239". Lineage: Eukaryota; Metazoa; Arthropoda; Insecta; Lepidoptera; Bombycidae. The record is from RNAcentral.